AAAGAAGCAGCACUACCUCCUCAUUCUGGUGGCAGCGCUUGGGCUGUCACCGUUUACUCUCGACAAGCCGGUGGCUUCCAUCAGUCCCAGCGGCUCCGCAGAGGCCACAGACUGCAUGAUGAGUCGGGAGACUGAGUUGUUGCAUCAGACUCGCAGGCUGCACGUGAUCCUCAAUGCGCGUGCAUGUUGACACUUAACCCUCCUACACAGUCACCCUGUUGUACUGAUAAUGUAGAUUUUAUCACAGUUUCUCAGCAGAAAAGGGCUUUAAACGAUAAAAGAUUCCAGUUUCCUGUUACAUGUGAAUG
Molecule: long non-coding RNA, 308 nt
Organism: Fundulus heteroclitus (mummichog)
Lineage: Eukaryota; Metazoa; Chordata; Actinopteri; Cyprinodontiformes; Fundulidae
Exons: 3
Source: RefSeq, a predicted model, not a curated record